GGGCCCGCACAAGCGGUGGAGUAUGUGGUUUAAUUCGAUGCAACGCGAAGAACCUUACCAGGGUUUGACAUCCUGCGAAUCUCUUGGAAACGAGAGAGUGCCUUCGGGAACGCAGUGACAGGUGGUGCAUGGCUGUCGUCAGCUCGUGUCGUGAGAUGUUGGGUUAAGUCCCGCAACGAGCGCAACCCACGUCUUUAGUUGCCAGCAUUUAGUUGGGCACUCUAGAGAGACUGCCGGUGAUAAACCGGAGGAAGGUGUGGAUGACGUCAAGUCAUCAUGCCCCUUACAUCCUGGGCUACACACGUACUACAAUGGCGGUGACAGUGGGAAGCGAUAGGGCGACCUGGAGCAAAUCCCCAAAAGCCGUCCCAGUUCGGAUUGUACUCUGCAACUCGAGUGCAUGAAGUUGGAAUCGCUAGUAAUCGUGGAUC
This 431-nucleotide ribosomal RNA is filed under the name uncultured bacterium. RNAcentral describes it as "bacterial SSU rRNA". It matches the Rfam family "Bacterial small subunit ribosomal RNA", at positions 917 to 1350 of the family's 1533-position model. The record is from RNAcentral.